AUACAUCUAACAUCUGUAAGCGAGGGAUUUUUGUUUCCUGGUAAACCAAGGGGAUUCAGAUACUGAAGUUCCCUGUUUCUCUGGUGAAGCAUGAUUAUGAAGAAUUGAAAACGCGGUUGAAGAAUUUACCUUAGAUUCCUUCCUUGACAACUCAGUAGGAAGGAAAAUAAGAAGAAGUUGUAAAGGGGAGUGAGUAGUGAGAAACAAAUUAUCAAUUUCAUUAUGUUGUCACUAAUUUGAUUCAUCGAUUGUUGGUUCAUCUCUUCAUCAAAACCCCAAAGAUCACUGGAAGUGAAGACGAAGACGCAGUCUUAUAUGUAUAUGAGAUUAUAGGGAGAUCCAGGAAGAUGACAGGAUUUUGUGUUGGUGGAGGUGGAGAUAUUGGGAAGGCCCAUGCAGCCAUGGCCUUGGUGCAGUUGUUUAAUGGGGGAUAUCAUGUCAUCACAAAGGUCGCUUUGAACGUGGGGAUGAAUCAGAUCGUUUACUGCGUCUGCCGUGAUGUACUCGCCCUCUCCAUCCUCGCCCCUGUCGCAUACCUCCGUGAAAAAAGGAUUCGACUGCCAUUAACUGGACGCCUUCUUAUGUCAUUCUUUUUUCUUGGUUUGACUGGGGUCUUCUGCAACCAGCUUUUAUUUAUUAUUGGUCUUAGCUACACAAAUCCCACUUAUGCUGCAGCUAUUCAGCCUUCAAUACCAGUCUUUACUUUCAUCUUGGCUGCAUUAAUGGGAACAGAAACAGUGAAUUUGCUGAGAAUUGAAGGACAGGUGAAGGUUGCUGGCACCCUUGUCUGUGUUUCAGGUGCAGUGCUGAUGGUUCUAUUUAGGGGUCCUGCUGUGUUUGGAGAUGGAGUGGUGGAUAUUUCAGGACUAAGCGAGAUAAGUGCAAAAGCUCAACCAGAGCCUGCUGGAUGGUUAAUAUAUAGUUUGCUGGAGUUUGGGAUAGAUCGGUGGCAUGUUGGUGUGUUAUGCUUAGUAGGGAACUGUAUGUGCAUGGCCACUUAUCUAGCCAUACAGGCUAAAGUUUUGGUGAAGUAUCCAGCCAGUCUAUCAGUGACAGCACUCUCAUAUGCGUUUGGUACUCUUUUUAUGCUAAUGACGGGAUUCUUGUCAAACAAUGAAUCUACAGACUGGAGCUUGACAAAAUCUGAACUAGUUGCAGUUUUGUAUGCUGGUGUUAUUGCAUCUGCUGUUAACUAUGGCCUCUUGACUUGGUCCAACAAGAUAUUGGGGCCUGCAAUGGUGGCUCUGUAUAAUCCUCUUCAACCUGCUGCAUCUGCUUUCCUGUCAAGAGUUUUCCUUGGAAGUCCUAUUUAUCUGGGAAGCAUCUUAGGGGGUUUUCUCAUCAUUGCUGGUCUUUAUAUGGUCACUUGGGCAUCCUACAGAGAGAGACAAGCUACUAAUGGAAUCAUCCCUCAAGUAAGUUGGGCCUCCGAACCCCUUGUUCACAAAGAACCCCCGCAUAACAAGGCUUCCUACCACAAGGUCCUGGAUUGAGGAAACACUGAUGCAUAUUUUCAGCCAGGAAAUGGUUAUUUGAAUAAUAUUGUAGUUAGGACACUUGAUUUAUAUAUAAAUUACAUUGUCUGUAAUAACUUUCCUUUAAGAGUAUUUGAUUCUUACCAUUUUGUAGCAGUAUGUUUUAUCUUGGUUAUAUCUGAAUUCUGAUGCCAUUCCAUCUCCAUUUCACACUCCUUUCUCCUGUCCUUUCUCAGUAUUAUCCAUUGUCUAUUCUUCAUGAAAAUCCAUAGAUUGAUGGCUUCGUCAAAGUCAUUUGAACAUCCAGGGCAUAGUCAGGCCAGUUCAUCCAUGGUCAAUUUAUUAAGGUUUUCGAGCUCAGGGGGAGAAAGGGAAAGUUUGCAGGUGAAAAAAGGUGAUAUAUGGUCUCAAGCAGUCUCCCCGGGUUUGGUCCGAGAUAUGAAGUUUGGUUAUGACGAAGAUAGAUGGGUUUCCAGAGAAGCAAUGCUGAUCAUUCCGUGUUCAUAAAAAGGAGAAAAGAGGUUACCAGAUGCUUCCAAGAAGAUAGUCAUUCGAUUCUUUUAGUAGCUGUAGUUUGAUGGACAUUGUUGAUUUGACUUUCCACGUACGAUGGGGCAUAUGCCAUCCUCGAUCUUGAUAAGGUUCUUUUGUGAGGUAACCUUGCUUUGAUACCGGUUGUAAGAAUGAAUGGGAACACCCAAGUGGGGGUGAAUUUGAGUGAAACUUUUCUUA
Molecule: RNA transcript, 2207 nt
Organism: Macadamia integrifolia
Lineage: Eukaryota; Viridiplantae; Streptophyta; Magnoliopsida; Proteales; Proteaceae
Gene name: WAT1-related protein At4g19185
Exons: 8
Source: RefSeq, a predicted model, not a curated record